This 483-nucleotide ribosomal RNA is filed under the name uncultured bacterium. RNAcentral describes it as "partial 16S ribosomal RNA". It matches the Rfam family "Bacterial small subunit ribosomal RNA", at positions 28 to 507 of the family's 1533-position model. The record is from RNAcentral.
GACGAACGCUGGCGGCGUGCUUAACACAUGCAAGUCGAACGCUGAAGCCCAGCUUUUGUUGGGUGGAUGAGUGGCGAACGGGUGAGUAACACGUGAGUAACCUGCCUCCUUCUUUGGGAUAACGCCCGGAAACGGGUGCUAAUACUGGAUAUUCACUGGUCUUCGCAUGGGGGUUGGUGGAAAGGGUUUUUCUGGUGGGGGAUGGGCUCGCGGCCUAUCAGCUUGUUGGUGGGGUGAUGGCCUACCAAGGCUUUGACGGGUAGCCGGCCUGAGAGGGUGACCGGUCACAUUGGGACUGAGAUACGGCCCAGACUCCUACGGGAGGCAGCAGUGGGGAAUAUUGCGCAAUGGGCGCAAGCCUGAUGCAGCGACGCCGCGUGAGGGAUGGAGGCCUUCGUGUUGUGAACCUCUUUCGCUCAUGGUCAAGCCGCAACAAUGGUUGUGGUGAGGGUAGUGGGUAAAGAAGCGCCGGCUAACUACGUG